This 687-nucleotide ribosomal RNA is filed under the name uncultured bacterium. RNAcentral describes it as "bacterial SSU rRNA". It matches the Rfam family "Bacterial small subunit ribosomal RNA", at positions 29 to 760 of the family's 1533-position model. The record is from RNAcentral.
ANGAACGCUGGCGNCAGGCUUAACACAUGCAAGUCGAGCGCCCCNCCAAGGGGAGCGGCAGACNGGUGAGUAACGCGUGGGAACGUACCCUUUACUACGGAACAACUCCGGGAAACUGGAGCUAAUACCGUAUGUGCCCUUUGGGGGAAAGAUUUAUCGGUAAAGGAUCGGCCCGCGUUGGAUUAGCUAGUUGGUGGGGUAAAGGCCUACCAAGGCGACGAUCCAUAGCUGGUCUGAGAGGAUGAUCAGCCACAUUGGGACUGAGACACGGCCCAAACUCCUACGGGAGGCAGCAGUGGGGAAUAUUGGACAAUGGGCGCAAGCCUGAUCCAGCCAUGCCGCGUGAAUGAUGAAGGCCUUAGGGUUGUAAAGUUCUUUCACCGGAGAAGAUAAUGACGGUAUCCGGAGAAGAAGCCCCGGCUAACUUCGUGCCAGCAGCCGCGGUAAUACGAAGGGGGCUAGCGUUGUUCGGAAUUACUGGGCGUAAAGCGCACGUAGGCGGACAUUUAAGUCAGGGGUGAAAUCCCAGAGCUCAACUCUGGAACUGCCUUUGAUACUGGGUGUCUUGAGUGUGGAAGAGGUNCAGUGGAAUUGCGAGUGUAGAGGUGAAAUUCGUAGAUAUUCGCAGGAANAACCAGUGGCGAAGGCGGCUGAUCUGGUCCACAACUGACGCUGAGGUGCGAAAGC